AGUAACACGUAUCCAACCUGCCGUCUACUCUUGGACAGCCUUCUGAAGGAAGAUUAAUACAAGAUGGCAUCAUGAGUCCGCAUGUUCACAUGAUUAAAGGUAUUCCGGUAGACGAUGGGGAUGCGCUCCAUUAGAUAGUAGGCGGGGUAACGGCCCACCUAGUCUUCGAUGGGUAGGGGGUUCUGAGAGGAAGGUCCCCCACAUUGGAACUGAGACACGGUCCAAACUCCUACGGGAGGCAGCAUG
This 246-nucleotide ribosomal RNA is filed under the name uncultured bacterium. Its description in RNAcentral is "partial 16S ribosomal RNA". It matches the Rfam family "Bacterial small subunit ribosomal RNA", at positions 109 to 353 of the family's 1533-position model. The record is from RNAcentral.